RNAcentral lists this ribosomal RNA (275 nucleotides) under uncultured archaeon. RNAcentral's name for it is "partial 16S ribosomal RNA". It matches the Rfam family "Archaeal small subunit ribosomal RNA", at positions 725 to 999 of the family's 1478-position model. The record is from RNAcentral.
UCGAUUAGAUACCCCCGUAGUCCCAGCCGUAAACGAUGCUCGCUAGGUGUCAGGCAUGGCGCGACCGUGUCUGGUGCCGCAGGGAAGCCGUGAAGCGAGCCACCUGGGAAGUACGGCCGCAAGGCUGAAACUUAAAGGAAUUGGCGGGGGAGCACAACAACGGGUGGAGCCUGCGGUUUAAUUGGACUCAACGCCGGACAACUCACCGGGGGCGACAGCAAUAUGUAGGCCAAGCUGAAGACUUUGCCUGAAUCGCUGAGAGGAGGUGCAUGGCA